GAUGAACGCUGGCGGCGUGCCUAACACAUGCAAGUCGAGCGGACAGGUGAGGAGCUUGCUCCUCGGACGUUAGCGGCGGACGGGUGAGUAACACGUGGAAAACUUCCCUAUAAUACUGGAAAAAUCUGGGAAAACCGGGGCAAAUCCGGGAUAAUCUAUUGAAGCACAUGGGGGGAUCGUGAGAGCCGGCGUUGCUGUCUGUUAUCGCGGCGGAUGAGCUUGUUGGUGGGGUAGGGGCUUACCAAGGCUACGAAGGGUAGCCGGCCUGAGAGGAUGAUCGGCCACACUGGAACUGAGACACGGUCCAGACUCCUACGGGAGGCAGCAGUCGGGAAUCUUCGGCAAUGGGCGAAAGCCUGACGCAGCAACGCCGCGUGUGUGAAGAAGGCCUUCGGAUCGUAAAGCUCUGUUAGUAGGGAGGAACAGCUUUGUAAGUUAGUAUGCAGUUCUUGACGGUACCUGAUAAAGAAGCAACGGCUAACUACGUG
RNAcentral lists this ribosomal RNA (488 nucleotides) under uncultured bacterium. RNAcentral describes it as "partial 16S ribosomal RNA". It matches the Rfam family "Bacterial small subunit ribosomal RNA", at positions 28 to 507 of the family's 1533-position model. The record is from RNAcentral.